UGCCAGACUCCUACGGGAGGCAGCAGUGGGGAAUAUUGCACAAUGGGGGAAACCCUGAUGCAGCGACGCCGCGUGAGUGAAGAAGUAUUUCGGUAUGUAAAGCUCUAUCAGCAGGGAAGAAGAUGACGGUACCUGACUAAGAAGCCCCGGCUAACUACGUGCCAGCAGCCGCGGUAAUACGUAGGGGGCAAGCGUUAUCCGGAUUUACUGGGUGUAAAGGGAGCGUAGACGGCGAUGCAAGCCAGAUGUGAAAGCCCGGGGCUCAACCCCGGGACUGCAUUUGGAACUGUUAAGCUGGAGUGUCGGAGAGGCAGGCGGAAUUCCUAGUGUAGCGGUGAAAUGCGUAGAUAUUAGGAGGAACACCAGAGGCGAAGGCGAUUAACUGGACCGUAACUGACGCUGAGGCACGAAAGUGUGGGUAGCAAACAGGAUUAGAUACCCCGGUA
RNAcentral lists this ribosomal RNA (446 nucleotides) under uncultured bacterium. Its description in RNAcentral is "bacterial SSU rRNA". It matches the Rfam family "Bacterial small subunit ribosomal RNA", at positions 329 to 792 of the family's 1533-position model. The record is from RNAcentral.